UGGGGAAUAUUGCACAAUGGGCGAAAGCCUGAUGCAGCAACGCCGCGUGCGGGAUGACGGCCUUCGGGUUGUAAACCGCUUUCAGCAGGGACGAAGGUUUUCUGACGGUACCUGCAGAAGAAGCACCGGCUAACUACGUGCCAGCAGCCGCGGUGAUACGUAGGGUGCGAGCGUUGUCCGGAAUUAUUGGGCGUAAAGAGCUUGUAGGCGGUCCGUUGCGUCGGAAGUGAAAACUCAGGGCUUAACCCUGAGCCUGCUUUCGAUACGGGCGGACUUGAGGGAUGUAGGGAGAACGGAAUUCCUGGUGGAGCGGUGGAAUGCGCAGAUAUCAGGAGGAACACCAGUGGCGAAGGCGGUUCUCUGGACAUUUCCUGACGCUGAGAAGCGAAAGCGUGGGGAGCAAACAGGCUUAGAUACCCUGGUAGUCCACGCCGUAAACGGUGGGCACUAGGUGUGGGACCCAUUCCACGGGUUCCGUGCCGUAGCUAACGCAUUAAGUGCCCCGCCUGGGGAGUACGGCCGCAAGGCUAAAACUCAAAGGAAUUGACGGGGUCAU
RNAcentral lists this ribosomal RNA (556 nucleotides) under uncultured bacterium. RNAcentral's name for it is "partial 16S ribosomal RNA". It matches the Rfam family "Bacterial small subunit ribosomal RNA", at positions 355 to 922 of the family's 1533-position model. The record is from RNAcentral.